AAUAAUACAUAAAAAUAUGAGAUUUAUAUAAAAAUGUUUUAUGUUUUAGUUUUAUUAGGUAGCAUAGAUAAGAAGAAAAAAAUACUCUUAAUUUGUAAUUAUCAUUUUUAUUUUUAAUGUCUUAAAAAUAAUUAUAAAAUGUUAUAUAUCUAUACUACAAUAAAACAAUAAAAAUUAUUUGAAAGGACCAAUAAUUGAGAUAAAAUAAUUUUUUUAAAUAUAUAUAUAUGUGUGUGUG
RNAcentral lists this unclassified non-coding RNA (238 nucleotides) under Hevea brasiliensis (rubber tree). Lineage: Eukaryota; Viridiplantae; Streptophyta; Magnoliopsida; Malpighiales; Euphorbiaceae. The record is from RNAcentral.